GAACGUCGUGAGACAGUUCGGUCCAUAUCCGGUGGAGGCGUUAGAGUAUUGAGAGGAUUCUUCCUUAGUACGAGAGGACCGGGAAAGACACACAACCGGUAUACCAGUUAUUGUUGCCAACGGUAAACGCUGGGUAGCUUUGUGUGGAGUGGAUAACUGCUGAAAGCAUCUAAGUAGGAAGCCCACCUCAAGAUGAGUACUCUCUAAGGUCACGGUAAGAACAACCGUUAGAUAGGUAUCAGGUGUAAGUGCAGUAAUGUAUUCAGCCGAGAUAUACUAAUAGACCGUAUGAAUUGAU
RNAcentral lists this ribosomal RNA (298 nucleotides) under Prasinoderma coloniale. RNAcentral describes it as "partial Bacterial large subunit ribosomal RNA". It matches the Rfam family "Bacterial large subunit ribosomal RNA", at positions 2614 to 2925 of the family's 2925-position model. The record is from RNAcentral. Lineage: Eukaryota; Viridiplantae; Prasinodermophyta; Prasinodermophyceae; Prasinodermales; Prasinodermaceae.